GUUUCAUUUAAAAUUUUUAUAAAAUUUUAUUUUUUAGUUAAAAAGCUAAAAUUUGUUCAAAAGACGAGAAGACCCUAUAAAUCUUAAUUAUUUAUAAGUUUUUAAUUUAUUUUGAUUUUUUUUAUUGUAAAUUUAUGUAUAAUUUUAUUGGGGUGAUAUUAAAAUUUAAAUAACUUUUAAUAAUUCAUAUCAUUUAUUUAUGAUUUAGUGAUCCAUUAUUAGUGAUUAAAAAAUUAAGUUACUUUAGGGAUAACAGCGUAAUUUUUUUGGAGAGUUCUUAUCGAUAAAAAAGUUUGCGACCUCGAUGUUGGAUUAAGAUUCAUAUUUAAAUGCAGAAGUUUAAAUAUUAAGUCUGUUCGACUUUUUAUUCUUACAUGAUCUGAGUUCAAACCGGCGUAAGCCAGGUUGGUUUCUAUCUUUGAUUAUUGAAAUAUUUUAGUACGAAAGGAAUAGAUAUUUAUUUUAAAGAAAUUAAUAAAUGAAU
This 484-nucleotide ribosomal RNA is filed under the name Cyrtodiopsis sp. BOLD:ACP6394. RNAcentral describes it as "partial 16S ribosomal RNA". The stretch from base 249 to 407 matches the Rfam family "Bacterial large subunit ribosomal RNA", at positions 2473 to 2632 of the family's 2925-position model. Lineage: Eukaryota; Metazoa; Arthropoda; Insecta; Diptera; Diopsidae. The record is from RNAcentral.